RNAcentral lists this unclassified non-coding RNA (347 nucleotides) under soil metagenome. RNAcentral's name for it is "partial contains 5.8S ribosomal RNA, internal transcribed spacer 2, and large subunit ribosomal RNA". The stretch from base 1 to 119 matches the Rfam family "5.8S ribosomal RNA", at positions 35 to 154 of the family's 154-position model. The record is from RNAcentral.
GAUGAAGAACGAGCGAAAUGCGAUAAGUAAUGUGAAUUGCAGAAUUCAGUGAAUCAUCGAAUCUUUGAACGCACAUUGCGCCCGCCAGUAUUCUGGCGGGCAUGCCUGUCUGAGCGUCAUUUCAACCCUCAUGCCCCUAGGGCGUGGUGUUGGGGAUCGGCCAAAGCCCGCGAGGGACGGCCGGCCCCUAAAUCUAGUGGCGGACCCGUCGUGGCCUCCUCUGCGAAGUAGUGAUAUUCCGCAUCGGAGAGCGACGAGCCCCUGCCGUUAAACCCCCAACUUUCCAAGGUUGACCUCAGAUCAGGUAGGAAUACCCGCUGAACUUAAGCAUAUCAAUAAGCGGAGGA